AGUGAACGCUGGCGGUAGGCCUAACACAUGCAAGUCGAACGGCAGCACAGUAAGAGCUUGCUCUUACGGGUGGCGAGUGGCGGACGGGUGAGGAAUACAUCGGAAUCUACUUUUUCGUGGGGGAUAACGUAGGGAAACUUACGCUAAUACCGCAUACGACCUACGGGUGAAAGCAGGGGAUCUUCGGACCUUGCGCGAUUGAAUGAGCCGAUGUCGGAUUAGCUAGUUGGCGGGGUAAAGGCCCACCAAGGCGACGAUCCGUAGCUGGUCUGAGAGGAUGAUCAGCCACACUGGAACUGAGACACGGUCCAGACUCCUACGGGAGGCAGCAGUGGGGAAUAUUGGACAAUGGGCGCAAGCCUGAUCCAGCCAUACCGCGUGGGUGAAGAAGGCCUUCGGGUUGUAAAGCCCUUUUGUUGGGAAAGAAAAGCAGCAGGCUAAUACCCCGCUGUUCCGACGGUACCCAAAGAAUAAGCACCGGCUAACUUCGUG
RNAcentral lists this ribosomal RNA (492 nucleotides) under uncultured bacterium. Its description in RNAcentral is "partial 16S ribosomal RNA". It matches the Rfam family "Bacterial small subunit ribosomal RNA", at positions 29 to 507 of the family's 1533-position model. The record is from RNAcentral.